CAGCGAUCUUCCAGCGCCUUUCGGUCAGGAGGGGUCCCCUCCACCUAGACCUCUUCGCGUCACGCAACAACAGGCAGACAGACGAGUACUUCAGCUGGCUCCCAGACCCAGAGAGCAAAGCAGUAGAUGCGUUUCUCCAACCUUGGCCACCCUCGGGGGCGUACGCCUUUCCCCCAUUCGCCAUGGUAGCCAGGACGAUGCAAUACCUGAAGACCCAGCGCAGAUCCAUGCUCCUCAUCUCACCCCUAUGGCAGGGUCAACCAUGGUUUCCGGACCUUCUAGCAUCAUCCUACAGAGAUCCCCUCCUCAUACAGUCCUAUCCGACGCUCCUUACGGACCCGAGAGGGAAUCAACACCCGCUCAUCCUGGAAGACCGUCUCACGCUGGUGGCUUGGACGCUUCCAGGGGAGCCUGGCAAACCGAAGAGUUAUCGCAAACAUCUCGAGAUCUCCUAUGGGACUCAUGGGCACCAGGAACCAGACGAUGUUACUUAUCGGCAUGGAGCUCCUGGGCUACUUGGUGCAGUGAGCGGAAUUUUGAUCCCUUUACGGCACCUAUAACAGCC
Pelobates cultripes (western spadefoot toad) is the source of this 565-nucleotide non-coding RNA. The record is from the annotation of a GenBank genome assembly. Lineage: Eukaryota; Metazoa; Chordata; Amphibia; Anura; Pelobatidae.